Molecule: ribosomal RNA, 433 nt
Filed under: uncultured bacterium
Lineage: Bacteria
Description: partial 16S ribosomal RNA
Rfam family: Bacterial small subunit ribosomal RNA
Source: RNAcentral
AACGAACGCUGGCGGCAUGCCUAACACAUGCAAGUCGAACGAGACCUUCGGGUCUAGUGGCGCACGGGUGCGUAACGCGUGGGAACCUGCCCUUAGGUUCGGAAUAACUCCCCGAAAGGGGUGCUAAUACCGGAUAAUGUCUUCGGACCAAAGAUUUAUCGCGUUUGGAUGGGCCCGCGUUGGAUUAGCUAGUUGGUAGGGUAAAAGCCUACAAAGGCGACGAUCCAUAGCUGGUUUGAGAGGCUGAUCAGCCACACUGGGACUGAGACACGGCCCAGACUCCUACGGGAGGGAGCAGUGGGGAAUAUUGGACAGUGGGCGAAAGCCUGAUCCAGCAAUGACGCGUGAGUGAUGAAGGCCGUAGGGUUGUAAAGCACGUUUAUCCGGGAUGAUAAUGACGGUACCGGGAGAAUAAGCACCGGCUAACUCCGUG